This 425-nucleotide long non-coding RNA is filed under the name Exaiptasia diaphana. Its description in RNAcentral is "uncharacterized LOC110237693". The record is from RNAcentral. Lineage: Eukaryota; Metazoa; Cnidaria; Anthozoa; Actiniaria; Aiptasiidae.
UCAUAAGGGUUUUAAUAAAGAAAUUAAUUAAGAGGCCGGAUUUACACCCAGCUUGAAUAGGAAGACACAAAGCUACACGUGGAUGGAGCAAACAUUGUACGUAUAUAACAUAGUUGAUUUGAACUAUGCUAGCUAUUCACAGAAGGACAGAUAUCGUAAACAAUACACACCAGCGUCGAAAAAGAUGAUUAACAAAAGNACAAGCUUCUUGCUGAUUUUCGUGGCAGCGGUAUUGUUUCAAAGCGCAUGCUCAACAUCACCAACCAAGCUUGUCAGAUCCACUUGCAGUAAUAUAUGUAACCGCGCACAUACAAGGUGUUUGCUGUCUGUCUGUCCCACCGACUUGGAAUGUGCUAAUGUUUGUCAAGAAUAUAUGAAUGACUGUUAUUUGAAAUGUUAUGGAAAGAAAUAAAUGUAAAAAGAUA